UUUGAUAAGAGUGAGAUGUCUUUUUCUCAAAGGAUCUUUGUACUAGCUGUGAGCCAUAGUCACAUACAGAGUGAGUGCUCUUUUCCAGAGACGAUCUUUGCCGUAUAUCAGUCUUUCGUUGAAAACUAGCUAGUGUCGUUGUAAAUAGAAGUUAAAAUAACUCAUAAACAUACUGAAUAUGUCCUAAACGCUUGUGCCUUGGGAGACGUUCGCCUUUUGUUGAUACAGGACAGAACAUGUGAACAUUUGGUCUCAGAUCAGCGGUUGAACAGAGGUGUAGAAGUCGGGAGGCCAACGAUGAGAGUAUGGAAAGUUUCAGUUUCAUUUUCACGUUGGGCCCUCCUGUGGUGCAUUCAGGGAACUGCAGGUGUGUUUGUACCUCGGAAACUCAGGGUGGAGUAGCUCUGCACAGCUUCCUGUAGGUGGCGAUCUCCACGUCCAGCGCCAUCUUGAUGUUGAGCAGGUCCUGGUACUCCCUCAG
Molecule: long non-coding RNA, 481 nt
Organism: Sphaeramia orbicularis (orbiculate cardinalfish)
Lineage: Eukaryota; Metazoa; Chordata; Actinopteri; Kurtiformes; Apogonidae
Exons: 4
Source: RefSeq, a predicted model, not a curated record